This 367-nucleotide ribosomal RNA is filed under the name uncultured organism. RNAcentral's name for it is "bacterial SSU rRNA". It matches the Rfam family "Bacterial small subunit ribosomal RNA", at positions 527 to 896 of the family's 1533-position model. The record is from RNAcentral.
CGGAGGUGCAAGCGUUAUCCGGAUUCACUGGGUUUAAAGGGUGCGUAGGUGGGCAGGUAAGUCAGUGGUGAAAUCUCCGGGCUUAACUCGGAAACUGCCAUUGAUACUAUCUGUCUUGAAUGCCCUGGAGGUAAGCGGAAUAUGUCAUGUAGCGGUGAAAUGCUUAGAUAUGACAUAGAACACCAAUUGCGAAGGCAGCUUACUACGGGGUGAUUGACACUGAGGCACGAAAGCGUGGGGAUCAAACAGGAUUAGAUACCCUGGUAGUCCACGCCCUAAACGAUGGAUACUCGACAUACGCGAUACACAGUGUGUGUCUGAGCGAAAGCAUUAAGUAUCCCACCUGGGAAGUACGAUCGCAAGAUUG